RNAcentral lists this ribosomal RNA (502 nucleotides) under uncultured bacterium. Its description in RNAcentral is "bacterial SSU rRNA". It matches the Rfam family "Bacterial small subunit ribosomal RNA", at positions 30 to 504 of the family's 1533-position model. The record is from RNAcentral.
UGAACGCUGGCGGCGUGCUUAACACAUGCAAGUCGCACGAGAACGUUUCAGCUUGCUGAAACUAGUAAAGUGGCGCACGGGUGAGUAACGCGUGGGUAAUCUACCUCCGAAUUGGGGAUAACAUUGCGAAAGCGAUGCUAAUACCGAAUGACAUCUCAAUCACUUCGGUUUUUGAGAUCAAAGGUGGCCUCUCCAUGGAAGCUACUGUUUGGAGAUGAGCCCGCGUACCAUUAGCUUGUUGGUAGGGUAAUGGCCUACCAAGGCGACGAUGGUUAGCUGGUCUGAGAGGAUGAUCAGCCACACUGGAACUGACACACGGUCCAGACUCCUACGGGAGGCAGCAGUGAGGAAUUUUGCGCAAUGGGGGAAACCCUGACGCAGCAACGCCGCGUGAGUGAUGAAGGCUUUCGGGUCGUAAAGCUCUGUCAAGUGAGAAGAACUUGUCCUUUGCUAAUACCACUGGGCACUGACGGUAUCACUGAAGGAAGCACCGGCUAACUCC